UUGUCCUAAAACUUAACCGGAAAACUCUCAAAAUUGAAAUUUUUAUGAAUUAGUACUGGGCGGUCAAAGCUCGGCGUACAAAGAAAUAAAAAAUGUCAUGCAUUUCUG
Molecule: long non-coding RNA, 108 nt
Organism: Thalassophryne amazonica
Lineage: Eukaryota; Metazoa; Chordata; Actinopteri; Batrachoidiformes; Batrachoididae
Exons: 3
Source: RefSeq, a predicted model, not a curated record